RNAcentral lists this ribosomal RNA (253 nucleotides) under uncultured bacterium. RNAcentral's name for it is "partial 16S ribosomal RNA". It matches the Rfam family "Bacterial small subunit ribosomal RNA", at positions 524 to 776 of the family's 1533-position model. The record is from RNAcentral.
UACGAAGGGUGCAAACGUUGCUCGGAAUUAUUGGGCGUAAAGCGCACGUAGGCGGACUCUUAAGUCGGGUGUGAAAUUUCGGAGCUUAACUCCGAAACUGCAUUCGAUACUGCGGUGCUUGAGGACUGGAGAGGAAACUGGAAUUCAUGGUGUAGCAGUGAAAUGCGUAGAGAUCAUGAGGAAGACCAGUGGCGAAGGCGGGUCUCUGGACAGUUCCUGACACUGAGGCACGAAGGCCAGGGGAGCAAACGGG